This is a long non-coding RNA of Musa acuminata AAA Group (dessert banana), 581 nucleotides long. RefSeq lists it as uncharacterized. The transcript has 2 exons. The record is from RefSeq and is a predicted model, not a curated record. NCBI's taxonomy places the organism in Eukaryota, Viridiplantae, Streptophyta, Magnoliopsida, Zingiberales, Musaceae.
UCGUCUGCUCUGUUUUUGGAUUUCCUCUUCCUCAAGUAGAACUCUUAGGUUGACGUGAACUCCUCUGUUACAGAACUGUUUGGUUGCACAUCGAGAACACUUUUAGUCCCACAUCACAAAGAGUACAGAGAGAACAACGGCGAGGAUCCUAUAUAAACCAUGGUAACCCAUCGUCCACUUCACGCAGCUGCGUGGUGGGCACAGAGCGAACUAUUCUUUCGCCUUUUACUAAAGAAUACCGUGCGCCCGCCACACAAAGCAGCAUACGCCAAUUUUUUGAGGGCCCAUCCCUAUAUUUGGUGAGGCCCGAUAAAUCAUUAAUAAGAUCACCCUCUGCCUCCUUCGUCCAUUGCCUUCGCCCCACUCACCCCAUCAAUUGAAUCGCAACUAUGUCUCACUAAAUUGUUCUCGUGCUUAACCAAAAGGCUCGAUGAAAUUGCGCUGCAUCUUGUCAAGUUGAAGUAUUCAUGUGUGCUUCGAUAAGCUAUCGCUCGUCAUGGAAAGAAUCAUGUGUUGUUGUCCGGCAUGAUUAGUUUGUGAUUAGAACAUUUUAUGUUCAGAUGGUUUAUGAUAUUCUUUUA